RNAcentral lists this ribosomal RNA (253 nucleotides) under uncultured bacterium. RNAcentral describes it as "partial 16S ribosomal RNA". It matches the Rfam family "Bacterial small subunit ribosomal RNA", at positions 524 to 776 of the family's 1533-position model. The record is from RNAcentral.
UACGUAGGGGGCAAGCGUUGUCCGGAAUCAUUGGGCGUAAAGAGCGCGCAGGCGGUCGCUCAAGUCGCGUGUGAAAGCCCCCGGCUCAACUGGGGAGGGUCACGCGAUACUGAUCGACUGGAAGGCAGGAGAGGGUAGUGGAAUUCCCGGUGUAGUGGUGAAAUGCGUAGAUAUCGGGAGGAACACCAGUGGCGAAGGCGACUACCUGGCCUGUUCUUGACGCUGAGGCGCGAAAGCUAGGGGAGCAAACGGG